Molecule: ribosomal RNA, 738 nt
Filed under: Triticum aestivum (bread wheat)
Lineage: Eukaryota; Viridiplantae; Streptophyta; Magnoliopsida; Poales; Poaceae
Description: partial small subunit ribosomal RNA
Source: RNAcentral
AAGAAUAAUACUAUUGCGCAAGUGCUCAGCUCAUCCCCGCCAAAUAUUUCGUUUAGGCGGGAUUUGAUUGGCACCCGACUUAUGUCAUGGAAUAAUCUAUUGUCCCGUCUGGAUUCGAUUAUCCUGACACAAGGUCGUGAUGUGUUUCGCUGGAACCUUACUACAUCGGGGUCUUUCACAGUAGACUCUAUGUAUCGUGCACUCUCGCAUUCUGAGGUACCGGUGAGAAAUAACAAAAUAAUUUGGAAAGCGAAGGUACCACUUAAAGUCAAAAUAUUCAUGUGGUAUCUCCGUAGGGGAGUUGUGCUAACAAAAGACAACCUCGCAAGACGCAACUGGUCGGGAAGUAAGAAGUGUUGUUUUUGUACUCACGACGAGACAAUUAAACACCUCUUUUUUCACUGUAAGUUUGCGCGUUCUACGUGGUCAGCCAUCCAAAUAGCGUCAAAUUUGUAUCCACCCACAAGUGUUGCCAAUAUUUUUGGUCAUUGGCUGGACGGUAUUUCAAAUAGGUACAAAACGCUAAUAAGGGUGGGAGCGUAUGCCUUACUAUGGUCGCUUUGGCUAUGUAGAAAUGAUGUUGUUUUUAAUGACAAAACUGUUUUGCCUUUGCAGGUUAUUUUCCGUUGUACGCACUCGCUUCGUACGUGGUGUACGCUACAACGAGCGGAGUACCAACCGCUGUUCAAGGCGGUGUGUACGCUGUUGGAGCAGGUGGCUACGGAGGUUUUUACCUAA